CAAAACUUUCAACAACGGAUCUCUUGGUUCUGGCAUCGAUGAAGAACGCAGCGAAAUGCGAUAAGUAAUGUGAAUUGCAGAAUUCAGUGAAUCAUCGAAUCUUUGAACGCACAUUGCGCCCCCUGGUAUUCCGGGGGGCAUGCCUGUUCGAGCGUCG
Molecule: ribosomal RNA, 157 nt
Filed under: Xanthoria parietina
Lineage: Eukaryota; Fungi; Ascomycota; Lecanoromycetes; Teloschistales; Teloschistaceae
Description: 5.8S ribosomal RNA
Rfam family: 5.8S ribosomal RNA
About the family: 5.8S ribosomal RNA (5.8S rRNA) is a component of the large subunit of the eukaryotic ribosome. It is transcribed by RNA polymerase I as part of the 45S precursor that also contains 18S and 28S rRNA. Functionally, it is thought that 5.8S rRNA may be involved in ribosome translocation.
Source: RNAcentral